This 632-nucleotide long non-coding RNA is filed under the name Androctonus crassicauda. The record is from RNAcentral. Lineage: Eukaryota; Metazoa; Arthropoda; Arachnida; Scorpiones; Buthidae.
UUGUACUCUGCACGUGCUGAUGAUGCGGCGGCCAUUUUGUGAAUGCCUAGUCUCUACCAAGGUCAUUACUGUGUCAUCUGCAAGUAUAGCCAAAUUAUCGCCCAACCAGAAAUAGCACAAAUUCCUUCAUUAAUUAUUUCCAGAUUUACCUGCACGACCUGUAGAUAUAUAUAUGGUGUAAUUCAUUUAAGGAGAGACACUGGUUUUAAAAAAAUUUUUUUAAAUAUAAGUGCAUUUUUAACUAUAUUUCACCUAAUGAUAUGGUGGUAUGAUAUAAGUAAAAAAAUUAGUUCAAAAAUCCGUCAAAGAAAUUAAUUGGUCAUAUUUAAUGGUUUUUUUUUAAUUUUUUAAAUUAUAUUUUGAUCAUAUGGUCAUGGCAGCGGUGAACAGCACUCGUAAAGAUUGCUAAACGCGUGAUGUUUACAUCUAUUUUUGUAAACUUUGAGUUAGAAAAAUGGAUUUUUUAGCAUUUUAAUAAACGUUUUCCUGUAUAAUUUAUAUAUUUUUAUAAAGUAGAGAUAAUGUAGAAUACGAAACACAAAAAAACUAAAAUUCGAUAUUUUUACCAAAAAUCAGCACUUUUAAAACCCGUGUCUCCCCUUAAAAAAGAAUGAAAAUAAAUACAUUAAUGA